RNAcentral lists this long non-coding RNA (569 nucleotides) under Felis catus (domestic cat). RNAcentral's name for it is "lncRNA (ENSFCAG00000047581.1)". Lineage: Eukaryota; Metazoa; Chordata; Mammalia; Carnivora; Felidae. The record is from RNAcentral.
AUCAGACUCCUAUUGUCACCAAGACUUGACAUAUAUUUUAUAUAGAUUUUGUUUUUUUUUACCCUAGGAAAGCCAAGAAAGGGGUUGUGACCAAUUUGUUGAAGACUUCCUAGUAUACAUUGAACAGAGACAGGAAAGGAGAGCAGACAAGAAGAGACAAAGGAGAAAAGGACAACAUAAAGGAUGGACACUGGGGUUUAUCCUAAAAUUUAAAGGGAUCCAUCCCCUAAGGGAAGACCAGAACAAGGAAUUUAAACAGUUAAAGGCAGGUAGGUUACUCUCUUCCAUUCUAUUUUUUCUGCUUCUCUAUCUGCUUCGUUCUUAUUAUCUUGAACAUCAUUUUUCUCUGCUACUUUUUGCAAAUAUGACAGAAGAAGGCUCCUCCUCUAAGAUUGAUGAGUCCCUGAGUUCCAGCAUCUAUAGAUCCUAACUGCAUGUCAAUUUCACAUCCCUAGGAGAGAGUAUCUGAUUAACUCAGCUCAGACCUGGUGUCCAACACUGGCUCAAUCAAUAGUGCAUAGAAUGACAUCUUGUAUCAUUACUGUGGUUUCAGCUGCCCACACUACUAG